RNAcentral lists this ribosomal RNA (462 nucleotides) under uncultured bacterium. RNAcentral's name for it is "partial 16S ribosomal RNA". It matches the Rfam family "Bacterial small subunit ribosomal RNA", at positions 338 to 795 of the family's 1533-position model. The record is from RNAcentral.
CCUACGGGUGGCAGCAGUGAGGAAUAUUGGUCAAUGGACGCAAGUCUGAACCAGCCAAGUAGCGUGCAGGAUGACGGCCCUCCGGGUUGUAAACUGCUUUUAGUUGGGAAUAAAAGGGGGCUCGUGAGCCCUGUAUUGUAUGUAUCAUCAGAAAAAGGACGCGCUAAUUCCGUGCCAGCAGGCGCGGUAAUACGGAGGGUCCGGGUGGUAUCCGGAUUUAUUGGGUUUAAAGGGAGCGUAGGGGGGCUUUUAAGUCAGCUGUGAAAGUCCGCGGCUCAACCGUGAAAUUGCAGUUGAGACUGGAGGCCUUGAGUGCACACAGGGAUGCCGGAAUUCAUGGUGUAGCGGUGAAAUGCUUAGAUAUCAUGAAGAACUCCGAUCGCGAAGGCAAGUGUCCAGGGUGCAACUGACGCUGAGGCUCGAAAGUGCGGGUAUCAAACAGGAUUAGAUACCCCUGUAGUC